RNAcentral lists this long non-coding RNA (2553 nucleotides) under Marmota monax (woodchuck). Lineage: Eukaryota; Metazoa; Chordata; Mammalia; Rodentia; Sciuridae. The record is from RNAcentral.
GGAACCGGUUGCACCUUACACAGUCACAGAGCCAAUUCAAAUACGUCACUGUCUGUCAUCAGAUCUGUGAGUGACCCUGACCUCCUUUAAAUUCUAGGAGGUAUCUGGCCCACUACAUAGGUCUUAGCUCCUGGAGAGCCUCCUCUCUUCACGCUCCUGCCCCCUCAGCUCCCUCCCCUGUUCUUGCUCUCCCCUAGUCACCAUCUCUCCUCUUUACCCCAGUUUUUCCCCUUGAUGUCAGUCAAGCAAGGAGCCAGGAGAAAUGCAGUUCAGUUGGUCCUUGAGGGAAGAAACUUUCAAAUUCUGUCUGUGAAUUAGUUGUCUACCCAGAGAUCUUGAGGCCAUUUGUGCAUUCUGGACUUUCCUGAACUACUUAAUGAAAAACUAAAUAAGGCAUAAUCUUAUAAAUUGACUUAAGUGCAGAAAAUUAAGUUAAGGAUAGUAAUUUUAUUUUGGCACCUCAUUUUCUUUAAAAAACAUGAAGGAAGAUCCACUCAGUCUCCUUGAUAUAAAAGAAAAACUGAUAAUAAAAAAGACUGAACUUUAAGGGACAAGUUUUUAAAAUAUAUAUAUAUAGAGAGAGAUAUUCUCUACAUUUACUUAAAUGCUGUGCUAAUAAUUCCCUAGAAAUCCUAUGAAGAGAAACUUGAUGUGUAACUGAUUGUUUUAAACAUAAGAAUUUAAACCUUUAAACUUAUAUGGUAAACAUCAGAGCAGUUGAGCCUUCUAGGAAUGUUCCUAAGUUGUACCCUGAGAGCCUUGACACCCAUAGUGUGAUCAAGGACGGGCCAUGUUUUAACUAGCUCUUGUUUUCUAAUUCCCUUUGGAUCUUCUCUGAGGAUUGCUUUCUUUCCUGAGCCUCUUAUCACAACACUUAGAGGAUUGCCUCUGUACAGCCUCCUCCUAUCCCUGGCAAGUUAACCCACAGCCUCCAGUUCCUGCUGGCUCCCUCCAGUGUGCAGCCCACCCUCUCUUGUUCCUGAUUUCUGGUCUCUAACUCCAGGCUUAAUAUUAACUGGUUGUAUGCCUUUGGCUCUGUGAGCUACUGCCCCUCAUCUGUUAAAGGUGGACCUAGACUUAGAGAAUCUCUGAGGUUCCUGUCAAUUUGUCUUCUUCUUAAGAAAACUGAGACACACACUUAACAGGGGAACUUUCCCCAACAUGUCCUCUUCAGUACAGGCUGUUUUUACAUGUGCAUGUUUCAUGCUCCAUCCUUCUGUUCCCAGAAUAUGUCAAAGGCCUUUAUUUUCCUUCAGACCACAUAACCUGUAGCAUGAACUGAGUAAUAAAAGGAAAGUAGUAGGAUCUGGCCAUAUGGCAUGCAGUAGGGCUGUGGCUGGGGCACCAGGGAUUUGGGUGCACAGGGAAGCUUAUCCUCUAAACUGGAACCCUCCAGACCCAGUGCAUCUCCUUGUCUCAUUCUUUUAACCAAAUCCCACCAUGUUUCUGCCUUCCUGCAUGCUUUGCCCUUAUUCCAGGCUCUGGGCAUCAUAAAUGGUGUCUAAUAGUUCCAUCUGAACAGGAUUCUUUUGUUUGCUUGCAGGUGACAUCCGUAAGGGCCCUGCUGUGUGCUCCAGCAUUGACACCCUUGCCUUCCAGGAGCCACACAAGAAGCAAAGCAACCACCGGUCCCUAAUGCAUGAGGAAGCCUAGGCCUACCCCCCUCCCCACAUCUGAACAACUGCCUAUCUGCUAAGGAGCAUCUGAGUCCUAUUCCUUCAAAGCUGGUGCAGGUCUGAAGAGGUGAUCAGAGAUGUCUCCUACUAGGGUAGGAAGAAAGGCAGAAUGACUUCCUGGCAGUGAUGGAAUACCAGUAGUCAAAUACCACCAGACCCCCACUAGGCAGAGUUCACCUAAGAUUGCAUGGUAAACCUGUGACACUGCUUCUGAACAGCCUCAGUGACACAGCACCUGCUCAGCACUGUUCUCACCUUAGCAGCUCUCCUCUGAUGAUCAACUCUGGGGAAAUGAUUGCCUUCUACACAUGGGUCAUGUGGUUCCAAUGUGGAGCUUGUUGACAGUUCUAGAAGCACCCUAGUGAGAAGCAGGCACUGCUGGACAGUGUCAGUGAAACUCAGCUAGCACCUUUCACAGAUCCACACCUGACCAGGUAGCUCCUCUGGGAUAAGCCAGGCUGGACUUUGCACGGCACCAUGAGGUCUGACCUCUUUGAGUCCAUGUGAGGAAGGACAUUGGUGACCUCUCAUUCAUAGCCUAGCACAAUCUGCUUCCUUUAUUAACAUGUUCUCCAAAUUUUACUGCCUCCUCCUCCCCAUUAAGUAUGCUGUGCCAUUUUGCUAACUUAACAUCCUUCGGGGGAAUAUGAGACUGAUGUCCACACCAAGCCUAUGCAAAGUCUUGCAUAUGGCAGCCUCUACUUGUUUCUUAGUGGUGUGGGCCAGGCCCCAAUUGUAAUGAAGCCUCCUAUGUGUCUUUAGAGUGCUCCUAGGAUGUGAGUAGGUGGGUAUAAAUGUAAGAUAGAGGUUCAUUUAUAUUGCUGUAGCCAUACGUUGAAGGCCAACAUCACUCAUUGCAGGCAGGGUAAAAUAGUAA